UAGAAAAUGUACACUCAAUGCGAAAAUUUAAGGGCUAAAAAGUUGCAUUUUGCUAAUAAAAAAUCCAAGUGGGACCAUAUGGAAUGGAGCCUUUAUAUUUGACUCGACUCUCAUGCGAAUAAAUUACUGACCCCAUACUCAAUCAGUCACCAUUCGUAGUCUCUCUUGGAAAAACUCAUCUCUCUCCUCUCCUUGACAUGGAGGAUUCAAGAGAGCCACUUCUUUCUCCAAGAGACGACGAAAACCAAAACCAUCCCCGUGAUAAGGAUCAAGACCAGCGAUACUCACUUCCCAGAUCAACAACAAACACUAGUUCCUUCGUCCCCGACGCCGAUGACAUCCCUCCUAUCAACGGCAUCCGUGAUUUCUUUAGAGAAUUCUACAGGGAGUCCAAGAAACUUUGGUACCUGGCCGGCCCUGCCAUCUUCACCUCCAUUUGUCAGUACUCCCUCGGCGCCAUCACUCAAGUCUUUGCAGGCCAAGUUGGAACCCUCGAACUCGCCGCCGUCUCCGUUGAGAACUCUGUCAUCGCCGGUUUUUCCUUCGGCGCCAUGCUUGGAAUGGGAAGUGCGCUUGAAACGCUAUGUGGGCAAGCAUUUGGAGCAGGGAAACUGGAUAUGCUUGGAAUCUAUUUGCAAAGAUCAUGGAUCAUUCUUGGCACUACAUCCGUUCUUCUCUCCUUCCUAUAUAUCUUCGCAGCUCAACUUUUGAAGUUGAUUGGGCAAACAGCAGCCAUAUCAAAAGCAGCAGGGAUAUUCUCCAUCUGGAUGAUACCUCAGUUAUUCGCUUAUGCUUUAAACUUCCCCAUGGCAAAAUUCUUGCAGGCUCAAAGCAAGAUCAUGGUUAUGGCCUUGAUCGCUGCUGCAGCUUUGGUCUUACACGCAUUUUUCAGCUGGUUAUUGAUGCUGAAGUUGGGAUGGGGAUUGGUUGGAGCCGCAAUAGUAUUAAAUGCUUCUUGGUUGUUGAUUGAUUUAGCUCAGUUUUUGUAUAUUAUCAGUGGAACUUGUGGACGAGCUUGGAAUGGAUUCUCAUGGAAGGCCUUUCAAAACUUGUGGAGUUUUGUUCGGUUGUCCCUUGCAUCUGCUGUUAUGCUUUGCUUGGAAAUUUGGUAUUUUACGGCAUUAAUACUGUUCGCUGGAUACUUAAAGAACGCAGAGGUCUCAGUGGAUGCCUUGUCCAUAUGCAUGAACAUUUUGGGCUGGACAGUCAUGGUAGCUAUUGGUGUAAAUGCAGCUAUAAGUGUGAGAGUAUCAAAUGAGCUAGGCGCAGCUCAUCCAAGAACAGCAAAAUUUUCACUUGUGGUGGCUGUUAUAUCAUCUUUUAUGAUUGGUGUCGUUCUCUCUCUCAUUCUCAUCCUUACAAGAACUAAGUAUCCAUCUUUGUUUUCCUCGGAUUCUCAAGUCAAAGAACUUGUCAAUGAGCUUACACCUCUGCUUGCUCUCUGCAUCGUCAUUAACAAUAUUCAGCCUGUUCUUUCUGGUGUGGCUAUUGGAGCAGGAUGGCAAGCAAUUGUGGCUUAUGUGAACAUAGCUUGUUACUAUGUGUUUGGGAUUCCUCUGGGUCUUAUAAUGGGUUAUAAACUUGAAAUGGGUGUUCGUGGGAUUUGGUAUGGAAUGUUGUCAGGGACUGUAGUACAGACUGUUGCCCUUUUCUUCAUGGUCUAUAGAACAAAUUGGAACAAAGAGGUAACUAAUUUAACAUUUGAUAGAAGUAUUUUAAUAUAGUAUUUGUUUCUUUAGAUAUAGAAUUUUCUCAUUAGCUCUGUUAAUUAAUUAGUAGAUAUAUAUAUGUAUACAACAGUGAAUGAAUUAAAAAGAAAAUUACAGAGUUAAAUUUUUGUGUGAAAUGCAGGCUUCUAUUGCUGAAGAUAGGAUAAAAAGAUGGGGAGGACACAAAGAUUCUGAAGGAUUUACAUAGAAAAGAAUAACAAUGUCUUGAAAGUGAUAAGGAUUUUGCCAAAAUUGUGGUUCUCUGACCCUGAGGGAGUCAAUAAUUUCUGAGGACAAAUCUGAUCAGAAAGCUUUUUUUUUUUUGUUUAGAAAAAAAGAUUUGCACCAAUUUUAAUGGAUAAUAUAAUAUAAAAAAAAAUAGUUUCCUUCUUAAGAAAUGUAAAAUUAAGUUGUCUUCUUCGAAAGAUACGCAUAUUGGAUGCAAAGUUUAGUGUGUUAAAUACAUAUACAAUUAUAUAUA
Molecule: unclassified non-coding RNA, 2190 nt
Filed under: Hevea brasiliensis (rubber tree)
Lineage: Eukaryota; Viridiplantae; Streptophyta; Magnoliopsida; Malpighiales; Euphorbiaceae
Source: RNAcentral